ACGGAAUAGAUACCCCUGGUAGUCCACGCCCUAAACGAUGUCUACUAGUUGUUGGUGGAGUAAAAUCCAUGAGUAAACGCAGCUAAACGCGUGAAGUAGACCGCCUGGGGAGUACGGUCGCAAGAUUAAAACUCAAAUGAAUUGACAGGGGCCCGCACAAGCGGUGGAUUAUGUGGAUUAAUUCGAUGCAACGCGAAAACCUUACCUGGCCUUGACAUGUAACGAACUUUCCAGAGAUGGAUUGGUGCUCGAAAGAGAACGUUAACACAGGUGCUGCAUGGCUGUCGUCAGCUCGUGUCGUGAGAUGUUGGGUUAAGUCCCGCAACGAGCGCAACCCUUGCCAUUAAUUGCCAUCAUUAGUUGGGCACUUUAAUGGGACUGCCGGUGACAAACCGGAGGAAGGUGGGGAUGACGUCAAGUCCUCAUGGCCCUUAUGGCCAGGGCUUCACACGUAAUACAAUGGUCGGUACAGAGGGUUGCCAACCCGCAGGGGUAGCCAAUCCCAGAAAGCCGAUCGUAGUCCGGAUUGUAGUCUGCAACUC
Molecule: ribosomal RNA, 542 nt
Filed under: uncultured bacterium
Lineage: Bacteria
Description: bacterial SSU rRNA
Rfam family: Bacterial small subunit ribosomal RNA
Source: RNAcentral